GCGAAGGGAGCUACGGAGGCCGCCACACCCUGACGGAAACACCGCAAACGAAAAAGAAAGGUAACACUUAACUUGAGCGGAACAACCGCCACAGGUCGCUCACCUUAACUUUAGUCUGCCGGCGUUAAUGAUACCGGCUAACGGGCUUUUUGAAAAGACGGUUCAGCGGGCGGCGACGGGACGAGGAGACGAGGACUUCCGUCAACAAACAAACAAAUGAAAAAUGACUGUCAGAAGCGGCGAGUGCAGCUGGACAUUCAAUACGAGGGAUACUUCAACUUCACGAGAGAAAGGAGAGAGGACUUCGACGACAAAAUUGCUACAUCCUCAAAUGUGCACCAUAGAGUUGAGUUUGUGACGAGGUUACAACAUUGGUUGGCUGGCUGAGUGUUGGAGUUUUUCCUCUGGCAGAUGACACAGACGUUCCCCCUGGGGGGGGUCUGCUGAGCCUGGAAGCCACGGUAGAUCAUUUCCGAAGCCUUCCUGACGCCACAGCCGGCAUCCUGCUCUGCCAUUCAAACCCGCAUGUUCAAUAAACUAUUUAUUCACAUCUUAGUUAAUGGUGGGAUCUUUGCUUGUGAACUGCUGUUUUGAAUCACUGCAAAAAGCUAAAACUUUUGUAUUAUCAAAAUUACACAUUGAAAAUGGACACAAAAUACAUUUUGCAUUAUGACUUAACAACAAUAAUAAUAAUAGUACUUCCCAUCCAGUAAAGUCAGUAUUGAUUUAGGAUCCACAUUAUCACCUCAACUGCAUAUCAGUAAGAACUAGUGGAGCAACUACAUUAUUUUUAUUUUUGGAUUAUUUCCUUUCUGAGAAUUCAAGGUGCAAUGUCAACUAGUUUGUUUCGCCCGCACAGCCGUCCAGAACCCAGCGAUAUUCUGUUUACAAUGACUUAACAGCAAAAGAAACUGGAAAGUUGAGAAUCUGGGACUAGAAAAUAGCUGAUUUUUUUUUUUUUGUAUGUUAAAUGACAAAUUGUUUCAGCGCUAGUAAGAACACUUCUCUCUCCUAAGCAGGGUUUUCCUCCUUCACUCUUGUGAAUAA
Xiphias gladius (swordfish) is the source of this 1047-nucleotide long non-coding RNA. RefSeq lists it as uncharacterized. The record is from RefSeq and is a predicted model, not a curated record. The transcript has 3 exons. NCBI's taxonomy places the organism in Eukaryota, Metazoa, Chordata, Actinopteri, Istiophoriformes, Xiphiidae.